GCCACUGUAGCUCAGUUGGUAGAGCAGCUGACUUGUAAUCAGCAGGUCGGGGGAUCGAUACCCUCCAGUGGCU
Thermoplasmatales archaeon B_DKE is the source of this 73-nucleotide transfer RNA. It matches the Rfam family "tRNA". From Rfam's summary of the family: Transfer RNA (tRNA) molecules are approximately 80 nucleotides in length. Their secondary structure includes four short double-helical elements and three loops (D, anti-codon, and T loops). Lineage: Archaea; Methanobacteriati; Thermoplasmatota; Thermoplasmata; Thermoplasmatales. The record is from Rfam.